Molecule: ribosomal RNA, 254 nt
Filed under: uncultured bacterium
Lineage: Bacteria
Description: partial 16S ribosomal RNA
Rfam family: Bacterial small subunit ribosomal RNA
Source: RNAcentral
CACGUAGGGUGCGAGCGUUGUCCGGAAUUAUUGGGCGUAAAGAGCUCGUAGGCGGUGUGUCGCGUCGGCCGUGAAAACCUGCAGCUUAACUGUGGGCUUGCGGUCGAUACGGGCAUCACUGGAGUUCGGCAGGGGAGACUGGAAUUCCUGGUGUAGCGGUGAAAUGCGCAGAUAUCAGGAGGAACACCGAUGGCGAAGGCAGUGUUCUGGGCCAGUACUGACGCUGAGGAGCGAAAGCGUGGGGAGCAAACAGG